UGUGUAGGCGGUCUGGUAAGUCGUUGGUGAAAGCUCCGGGCUCAACUCGGAAACGGCCAGCGAUACUACCGGACUUGAGGACAGGAGAGGUGGUCGGAACUUUCGGUGUAGCGGUAGAAUGCGUAGAUAUCGAAAGGAACGCCGAUAGCGAAGGCAGGCCACUGGAAUGCACCUGACGCUGAAACACGAAAGCUGGGGGAGCAAACAGGAUUAGAUACCCUGGUAGUCCCAGCCCUAAACGAUGUAUACUAGGUGUUGCCCGUAUGGGCAGUACCGGAGCCAACGCGUUAAGUAUACCGCCUGAGGACUACGGCCGCAAGGUUGAA
This 326-nucleotide ribosomal RNA is filed under the name uncultured bacterium. RNAcentral's name for it is "bacterial SSU rRNA". It matches the Rfam family "Bacterial small subunit ribosomal RNA", at positions 568 to 898 of the family's 1533-position model. The record is from RNAcentral.